GAAAUCUUGCUGUUCUUAGUAUAGCAAUUAUACCGCGAAACUGCGAAUGGCUCAUUAAAUCAGUUAUCGUUUAUUUGAUAGUACCUUACUACAUGGAUAACCGUGGUAAUUCUAGAGCUAAUACAUGCUAAAAAUCCCGACUUCGGAAGGGAUGUAUUUAUUAGAUUAAAAACCAAUGCCCUUCGGGGCUCUCUGGUGAUUCAUAAUAACUUCUCGAAUCGCACGGCCUUGCGCCGGCGAUGGUUCAUUCAAAUUUCUGCCCUAUCAACUUUCGACGGCUGGGUCUUGGCCAGCCGUGGUGACAACGGGUAACGGGGAAUGGGGCGGGGGCGGCGGGCCGGGCGCGGGGCGCGGCGGGCGA
This 361-nucleotide ribosomal RNA is filed under the name uncultured Sirococcus. Its description in RNAcentral is "bacterial SSU rRNA". It matches the Rfam family "Eukaryotic small subunit ribosomal RNA", at positions 52 to 374 of the family's 1831-position model. The record is from RNAcentral. Lineage: Eukaryota; Fungi; Ascomycota.